This 459-nucleotide ribosomal RNA is filed under the name uncultured bacterium. Its description in RNAcentral is "partial 16S ribosomal RNA". It matches the Rfam family "Bacterial small subunit ribosomal RNA", at positions 338 to 795 of the family's 1533-position model. The record is from RNAcentral.
CCUACGGGAGGCAGCAGUGAGGAAUAUUGGUCAAUGGGAGAGAGCCUGAACCAGCCAAGCCGCGUGAGGGAAGACGGCCCUAUGGGUUGUAAACCUCUUUUGUCGGAGAACAAAACCCGGGACGUGUCCCGGACUGCGUGUAUCCGAAGAAAAAGCAUCGGCUAACUCCGUGCCAGCAGCCGCGGUAAUACGGAGGAUGCGAGCGUUAUCCGGAUUUAUUGGGUUUAAAGGGUGCGUAGGCGGGCCGUUAAGUCAGCGGUAAAAUUGCGGGGCUCAACCCCGUCGAGCCGUUGAAACUGGCAGACUUGAGUUGGCGAGAAGUACGCGGAAUGCGCGGUGUAGCGGUGAAAUGCAUAGAUAUCGCGCAGAACUCCGAUUGCGAAGGCAGCGUACCGGCGCCAGACUGACGCUGAGGCACGAAAGCGUGGGGAUCGAACAGGAUUAGAUACCCCAGUAGUC